This 200-nucleotide unclassified non-coding RNA is filed under the name soil metagenome. Its description in RNAcentral is "partial contains internal transcribed spacer 2 and large subunit ribosomal RNA". The record is from RNAcentral.
GCGGUCGGCUCCCCUCAAAUGAAUCAGCCUCCCAGUGUUUGGUGGCAUCACGGGUGUGAUAAAUAUCUACGCUCGCGGUUGUCUGCCAGGUAACCUUUGGUUACAAAGGUUUGCUGGAGCUCACAGAUGUCUCUCCUCGGUGAGGACAGCUUUUUUGAACGUUCGAUCUCAAAUCAGGUAGGACUACCCGCUGAACUUAA